GACGAACGCUGGCGGCGUGCUUAACACAUGCAAGUCGAACGGAAAGGCCCUGCUUUUGUGGGGUGCUCGAGUGGCGAACGGGUGAGUAACACGUGAGUAACCUGCCCUGGACUUUGGGAUAACUUCAGGAAACUGGGGCUAAUACCGGAUAGGAGCUCCUGCUGCAUGGUGGGGGUUGGAAAGUUUCGGCGGUUGGGGAUGGACUCGCGGCUUAUCAGCUUGUUGGUGGGGUAGUGGCUUACCAAGGCUUUGACGGGUAGCCGGCCUGAGAGGGUGACCGGCCACAUUGGGACUGAGAUACGGCCCAGACGCCUACGGGAGGCAGCAGUGGGGAAUAUUGCACAGUGGGCGGAAGCCUGAUGCAGCAACGCCGCGUGCGGGAUGACGGCCUUCGGGUUGUAAACCGCUUUCGCCUGUGACGAAGCGUGAGUGACGGUAAUGGGUAAAGAAGCACCGGCUAACUACGUG
RNAcentral lists this ribosomal RNA (468 nucleotides) under uncultured bacterium. Its description in RNAcentral is "partial 16S ribosomal RNA". It matches the Rfam family "Bacterial small subunit ribosomal RNA", at positions 28 to 507 of the family's 1533-position model. The record is from RNAcentral.